CUUAGGAUGAGACACACAGCCAGUGCUGAAGAACUGUUAAUGGAAAUAGGGCUCUCGAAGAGUUCAUCAUGAUUGGUCAGUUGAGAACCUGGGUGUUUUGAUCUUGGCUGUUUUCCAGCCCAGCGCUGGCAGGCAUUUAUAUUGAGAAAAACUGGCUCUGUAGCUGGAAGCAGAUAAUUUUAAAUGGUGGCAUUCACCUUUUCUCUCGUUUGUUUUCCCUCAAUUCUAGUUUAUGCUCCUAUAACUCUGACCGGCUUAUAGCUCCCUGGAUACAUCAGUUUCUUUCUCCCUUCAGGCCUUUGCAUAGGUAGCCUGCCCUGCUCGAGUCCCCCUUCCACACUCUCCCUCGUGACCCACACCUGCCCAUCCUUUGAGGCCUGUACGAGCAUCACAGCCUACUCACUCAUCGUCAUUGUCACAAAAGGAAACAGAACACUUAACAGUCUCACUCUGAUAUCCAAGCUCGAGUACAGUGGCAUGACCAGAGCUCACUGCAGCCUCAACCUCCCAGACUCAAGGGAUCUUCCCGUCUCAGCCCCAUGAGUAGCUGGGACUACAGGUGGGUGCCACUGUCAGAGGGAUUUGAACCCGAGUGAUUUCAUGUUGAGUGAGGGCUAGGGAAAUGAGGCUGGGCCUUGCUGGGCUGCAUUCCCAGGAAGUUAGGUAUUCUUAGUCUCUGGAUGUUUAUGGUUAAGGGAACCGAUUGAUAACAUCUAUU
Molecule: long non-coding RNA, 718 nt
Filed under: Callithrix jacchus (white-tufted-ear marmoset)
Lineage: Eukaryota; Metazoa; Chordata; Mammalia; Primates; Cebidae
Description: lncRNA (ENSCJAG00000078158.1)
Source: RNAcentral